AGAGUUUGAUCAUGGCUCAGAAUCAACGCUGGCGGCGUGCCUAACACAUGCAAGUCGAACGAGAAAGUGGAGCAAUCCAUGAGUAAAGUGGCGACCGGGUGAGUAACACGUGACUAACCUACCUUCAAGUGGGGGAUAACCUCGGGAAACCGAGGCUAAUACCGCAUAAUAUCGCAAGAUCAAAGCAGCAAUGCGCUGGAAGAGGGGGUCGCGGCUGAUUAGCUAGUUGGCGGGGUAACGGCCCACCAAGGCGAAGAUCGGUAUCCGGCCUGAGAGGGCGCACGGACACACUGGAACUGAAACACGGUCCAGACUCCUACGGGAGGCAGCAGUGGGGAAUUUUGCGCAAUGGGGGAAACCCUGACGCAGCAACGCCGCGUGGAGGAUGAAGCCCCUUGGGGCGUAAACUCCUUUCGACCAAGACGAUAAUGACGGUACUGGUGAAGAAGCGCGGCUAACAUCG
This 463-nucleotide ribosomal RNA is filed under the name uncultured Acidobacteriota bacterium. Its description in RNAcentral is "bacterial SSU rRNA". It matches the Rfam family "Bacterial small subunit ribosomal RNA", at positions 8 to 505 of the family's 1533-position model. The record is from RNAcentral. Lineage: Bacteria; Pseudomonadati; Acidobacteriota.